Populus trichocarpa (black cottonwood) is the source of this 5498-nucleotide RNA transcript. It is a transcript of the gene named transcription termination factor MTEF1, chloroplastic, with no coding region annotated. The transcript has 3 exons. NCBI's taxonomy places the organism in Eukaryota, Viridiplantae, Streptophyta, Magnoliopsida, Malpighiales, Salicaceae. The record is from RefSeq and is a predicted model, not a curated record.
UCCUCACCUCUACCCUGUCUUUGAUUUCCUAUUCAACGAAGUCGAAAUCCCAUUUCAUGAUAUCUCUAGGCCAAUCAAUCGCUGUCCCAAAUUGUUAGUUUCCAGUUUGUCUCAUCAAUUAAGGCCUGCUUUUGUUUUUCUAAAAGAUUAGGGCUUUGUGGGUCUCCAAAAGUUAAAUUAUCAAACUACUUUGUCGCUUGUUUAUAACGUGGAGAGAAGAUUGACGGGUAAGAUUGAAUUUAGGAAGGUUAAAAAUAUGGCUGUGAGGGCACCUGGGAUUUUGACUCUUAGUAUGGACAGGAAUUUGGGGCCUAAACUUGAUUACUCUGUGAGAGAAAUAAAAGGUGAUUUAGAGGAAUUUAAGAAGUUUCCGCAGUUCUUUUCGUUCAGUCUUGAGAGGAAGAUUAAGCCUAGGCAUAGAAUGUUGGUGGAGUAUGGACUGAAGAUGCCACUGUCGAGAAUGUUAAAGGUUAAUGAAGGGGAAUUCAACGCUAGGUUGUUUGAAAUGCUGCUGAGAAUGGUGGAGGGGAGGUAACUUGAUUGGACGUACUCAGUAAGUUGACCCAUUGCUUGCUUGCCUGUGUAUUUUGAUAAAGUAAAGUAAUGACCCCUUGAUUGCUUGCCUGUGUAUUUUGAUAAGGUAAUGUUUGGAUUAUGUGAUAUACUAUGAUAGUUUUACAUGUGGGCAUGUUUUGAGUUUGUGAUAGAUGAGAUUUAAUUUUUAAGUUGCUAUAGAUUUGAUUGAGAUAUCAUGCUGAUCGUGAAUUGUAAUUUGUGUCUUAGGACGUGAAAAACUGUCUCGUGUCUAUAAAGUUGGAUUCUGUGUAGCGUAGUUCAUAUGCAAUUAAACUGUUAAGGGAAUGAUUGAAAGAGAAACAUUUAAAAAGAAAAGAAAAGAAAUAGGGACACCACAUGUAUUGCAGGAAGUUAUGCUUAGCCGUGUACAUGGAACUUUGCUGGGAUGUGAAAAAUUGUCUCUGUUUCAAGUGUGAGUGUGGUUUAUGCAGUUUAAGGAGCCAAGACGUUGAUCGUUAAGCCUGUGGUUAACAUUGGUUUGCUAUGUCGCGACAUAGUCAAGCCUUAACAGAAACCAAACACUUUAUGAUGUCUUGCUGUGUAAACCUUUUUCUUUUACUUGUGCUCUGUCGCAGAGCUUCUAAGGACACUUGAUAUCAUAGAGAUAUUCCAUCUCAGUGAUGUGAAUCCUAAAUCUCUCAGAUUGGGAGACUCCAAGAACUACUUUUAUUUCUCAAACUCUGUUCUGGAAGGAAAUGUUUAAAAACUCAACGGAUUUUGGCAGUGCUGGGAGGAUUUCGAGCAGUGGCUUUAAGCCUAUAACAACCGUGAGGAAUAGUCAAGUCAAUAAGAAAGUCCUGCUAUUCUGUCCUAAUUCAAGAAAUUCAAGUGUACAAUUGUCCUGCUAUUCGUAUGUGGCCUGUUGGCAAUAAUUUAUACCAUAGCCAUCAGUGUUCCUAGGUAGUUGUAGGUUUUUGACAGUCUUCUGUCUAGCAUGUUAAUUUGUGGUUCUAUCCAUUUUUCCUUUUAGGAACGCUCUCACAAUACCUAAUAGCACUAUCUACUAUACAGUAGAGCUUUUAAAAAAUUUAAUAAAACACAAUUUAACAUGUUCCACUUUCUGGAGAACAGUAACAGUUCUGCAAACAGUAGAAUGCAAAAAACUAAGUUCUACAAGCGUAUUCUAGCAUUAUCAUUACAACUUUUUGGACAUUCAAGUCUUGCCAAAUCUCUCCUUGCAAUACUGGAAUGCCCUUUCCUAUUGCUAAAGAGAAAACCCCAACGAAUGACAGGGAGUUAAAUUUGAGUAUCUUGUGUGCUUUUAGUGAUGCCUUUUGAAUUUUUGUUCUUUCCAUUCAACUCAUUCCCAGUGCUCUUUUGAUGUCCCCUAAUCAUUUUCAUAACCGAAGCUACAACCCAAUCCUGGACACACCUGACUUCUAAUCUACUUCCCCCACAGACCAAUGUCGUUGAAUGCAUUCUGUUAUCCUCUCUAUCACCACAAAUUCCAUAACCACCAUCACCAAUCACAACCCAACUUCUACGUCUAGCUCAUGGAGAAAAGACCUAGUUCUGCUGCAACUGCAACUGUGUUGCUUAUCAAAAUGCGUGUGACUAUAUGCCUCGGGGAUGUGAGUUGUCUAGGAAUAGAAGUUAAUGAUUUGCAUUUCCUCUGUUUGGGGUUGCAUGCCCUUUCUAAAAAUUCCUUAAGUUGUAUGGUUUUUUUUGCAGUUGCUCCUUUUUUGCGCGAACUCCAUGAGGUUAAAAUGAGUUUGUCAUCAGGUUGAGCUGCUUAAGAAUUUUCUGUAUAGGGCCACUUGGGCUCCUCUCUAACAUCAAGAUUGAGUUUUAUAUCACAAAAUAUAGCAUACAGUUGUUUGUGCUUUCUUUCUCCUUCCCUUUUCCGAGGGAUGAAAUGGAUGUUGAAAUACAGUAUCAGUUGAAGCCCCCGAGUUUUUCUUUUCACCUUUUGUUUCCUUGACGUCUUCUGGCUCUAUACUAGGCUGCUACCAGCAUUUCUGGAAACUCUGGUUUCAGAUGAGUUCAGAUUUUUUUUAGUGGAAAAGACUUCUUAGGAGUUCUAAGAAUGCUGCUUUGGAUUAAACGAGUUUAUCAGCUUGACUGAUUGAUGAUUUCCCAUUAGUACCACAGACACAUGCAGAAGUAUAUAUUUUUUUCUGCUUGAUUUUUGAUUUGAAAGAGUUUCUGUAUCUGUGCAUACUCUCUUGAUUCACAAAGCAAAAGUAGAGAUACCGGAAUGUCACUUCAAGGAUAUUUAAGCAUCUCAGCAACGAGUACAAAUGAAGUGGUCUUCCGAACUUAUUCAAAGUGGUAUAAUCUGUUGAGAUCAACUUAACUGUAUUCUCAAAGAUUAUCCUUAGGAUUAACUACUAAAGUACCCCUCUCCUAUUGUUCAUUUCUGAUUUUGCCCAUUCCCAAUUUGAGAAACCAAAUUUUCCAAAAACAUUACCAAACAUUUUCAAUGUUACCUUUUCUUCUAAUUUCUAUAAAAAAUAGUUAACAAGUCAUCAUAUUACUAACCUGUCAUGUGCAUGUUUCAUAAACUCACGAGGAAUGGAUCUGCCAGAAAACCCAAAAUCACCCACUUGCAAUCUGGGCAUUUUUGGCAGUUUUUUCCCGUUAAUGAAACGCCUCCAUGGCAUGUUGAGUAUUUUGACAGUGCUAUCAACUAUUUUAAAAGGGACUGGAUGAAAGGGUGACAUUGAAACAUUUGGUAACAUCAAGGGCAAAAUUGAUUCCGUGAAUUGGUAAAUGGUAACAUUGUUAAUGAGCUAAUAGGUGAAGGGCAUUUUUGUAGUUAACCCUCAUCCAUAUUUAUCUCUUUUAUUGAUGGCAUUUUAUUGCGAUUGCUAAUGCACUAUAACUGUCUGAUUCAGGGAUUUGCUUACAUAUAUUACACCAGUUUAGUAUGUAUCAAUCCAACCACAUGAAUUCUUUUGUGACCAUGAACAAUAUGUUAUGGAUACAUCGUUGAAGUAUUUGGUGUGGAUUUGGGAUGUCUCAGGCCAAGCUCAGUUUCUCAAAGAAGACUUGAAGCACAAAUGGUGUGUUAUUCCUAAUUUUUGGGCCUCACAUUUGUUCUGAACAGUGGCUUUUUCCUGCUUUAUAAAUGUCUUAUUUUAGGGUGCUUGCUGACCACCUUCUAGUCCCCAUUUAUUGCAGUCUAAACACAGGUUAAGUGUUACUGAAGGUGGGAAGAUUGAUUUAAGGUUAUGAUCAUGGGGUAUAAUUGUGCUGUCAAAUCUAAUUCACUUAUUUUACUGAAGCGUACAUGAACUUUGCAAGUAUCCUUGCAUAACUAAUUUCCACUGUAGCCAUUUAAAACUCUCGGGUAUCCAACUGAGGUUGCUUUGUGGAAGACUUUGAAGGUAUUAAACCACGUUGAGUUAUAUAUUGAGUGUUCAAUUCUGGUCCCUAUUGCUCUUGGAUUGACAUAAUCCUGGGUUUUUAUGUUCUUUAUCUUUAUUCCUGACCAAUUUAGUCUCUUGAUUUAAUUUUUAAGCCUUUUUGUAAGCAAUCAUGAAUAGAAACAUGGGAAUUAUGGCGCUGAACAUUUGGUUCAGAAAUGUUUUGCUAUGUGACAUGAAAUUUUUGACAUUGAAUUUCAUUGACUAAGGAUCUUUAGUUUUGACCUGCUGCAUCCUUUCCAUUUAGUCGGGCAAGAAAAUAAUUAACAGUUUGUACAGAUUAACUGAUUGCUGUUAUAAUCAUCAUCUGCUGCUGUGAAAGUACUUUACAGGCUGUUCAAUGGAUGCAAGAAUGGCAUAUCUUGUACACUGUCCUUUAGUUGGUGGGGCCUCUGCAUUGCAGCAGUUUAAAGCCACAUGGUUUUCUGUAGAAACACUGUCCUCGUUAUUGUUUUAUUUCUAUCUGGGCAACCACUAUAUAUGAACUCUUUGUCGAUUGUCUUGUUUAAUUAUGUAACAUUGACCCACAUCUUGGCAUCCAUGAAAAUUUGUUUUUUUCGUAUCUCUUGGUAGCCUUAAAAACUUGUUCUCUUUAAUCUUCCUGUCUUCUCCGAGGAGAAUCUUGUGUUGUCAAGUCUUACUCGAUUAUGUACGGUCAGGUGCAAAGAUGAAAAUAAAGGAGAACGGUUUCCGUGCUUGGUUCAAAUUCUCUACAUCCACCCUAAAGUAAUUUGAUAGCUCAGGAAGGAGCUUGUGCAUGGUAGAAUGGAGACAUCGAUGGCACUACGAGUGACUGAUCAUCUUAUUUUUGGUGGUUUACAUGGAACCGUAGAAGGGUAAAGACCUGCACGGUGCACAGUGAUCUUAAAUUCCAUUGUAGGCAUAUUAACCGAGCUGAAAAAGGUUACCUGUAAGUUAUAUCCCAAGAUAGCCUAGUCUCUAGACUUGGAAAAGAUGAGCAUGUGGAGGAAAGCUUUGUGAAUUGACGACACCGAUUCAACCAAGCACUGCGAAGGAUGCUUAUUCAACUGUCUGUUUUUGGAUGCCACGUGCAGAAAGCUGCUGCUUGCAAUUCCAUCCGUAAGUUCUGAUGUAUAUCUCGGUGUUCUGACAUGAAUUCAUCAUAUGAUAACAAGGUAUUGGACAAAGGGCACGACAUUCCUUCAGGAUGUUUGAUUGCAUAAACUAGAUAAAUAAUUGAAUCUUGUUCCAGCACACAAGUUGUCUUCACCUUCGGUUUAUUCAAUUGCUUUCUUGUUCUCCCUCCGAGCUUCCAUGCUUAUGGCCAUGCCUUGGUGGACUAGGUGGCAACCAACUUGGGCCAAGUGCCAUGUUCAUGCAUCAAUGUGGAUAUAGCAGAUCCUGGUGGGGUCUAUUCUUCAGCUGAAAAUUGUCCGAACUCUUUUUCCUAUCGUAAGGACAUUUUAGCGAGAGCCUAAUUAAUGUCCCUGAAGUCAUAUGCUUAUCAUAACCGGUGCUGAAAAUUCAAGCUCUUGUAUAAUACAUAAUGUAAUCAUAAUUUGAGAUGUCAGUGAUAAAAUUUAAGAUACAAUA